ACAUACACUCACGCACACACACACAUGCACACACACACACGCAUACACACUCAGUCACAUAUACAGUCACACACACUCAGUCAUAUACACACUCAGUCACACACACACACGCACACGCUUUACCUGAUCUGUGCACCAGUACCACGCAGCCACGAUGGUCAUUCCUAUGAUCAUUCCCGGCCACGGAAUGUCCCCGGUGACAGCAUCUCGGAAAAUGUGGAAGGAGUCUGGCCGAGGAGUGUAGCACGCGGGGCUAAUUGUCAGGUUGUCCCCUUCGACUAUGGACGGGAUGGCGUUCAUAUACUUCUCCGUAAAACUCUCAUAGCCUCCGACUUCGGCAAAUGCUGCAACGGCAUCGGAUACAAGGCAGUGUUCCCCAGAAACGUGAGACACCCAUUUCCCUAACGACCCCUCCGUGGUGGGAGGCACUCCGGCACCUCCCAUCGGCCUGGUCGUGUUCUCAGGACCCUUCUCUCGGAUCCACAGUCCCUUGACUUCCACCCCCACGGCCCCGUUCACACGGCCAUCACUUACCAAACCCCAUGAGGAUGAACGAGCCGAUCAGCAUGAUGAUGGUCUGGAGGGUGUCGGUGUAAAUAACCGAGGCCAAGCCGCCUGUGGAGAGAAGAAAAGAGCCAGGGUGUUUGACUCAGGUGCCCUCCCCUACUUGCCUUCGCCUUUAGGUUCUCUUCUACCCAAACCCCUGAAGUGACUCAGCAGAAAACAGAUCGGAAGCUCCUGGUGGCAUCAUCAUCAUCUCCUUGGAAGGUACGUGUCUCAUUGGUGCUCCUGUCUUCCUUGCCUUGCCUCCACUCAACGUUGCUAUCAAUUAUGGUAGAGUUCUACCUUUGUGUGCGCUUUUGAAUAUUAAGUAGGGGGAAAGGCCAGAUUUUAAUAUCAUGAAAAUCUCCCAUAACAACCCCUCAGUUUGCGCUAUUUAGCACAGGAUACCUGCUCUAAAGAACUGGGCGAAGCCAUUUCUGUUCGAGCGUUGGAACAUAUCAUUGUUUCAUUAGUGGAAUACCGUAUAUUACUGUUGACCCACGUUUUGCGGCAAUGUCGUAUAACCACCACCACCAAUAACAACAUCUCUUUCAACUCUAGACUCCCUGGGCGCUUAGCCACCAAGUCAGAGUCAGAAAGGAGAAUCCAACAUUUCUUUUAUGAGAGGGUCUCGGGGAAACAAGAUGGAGCCUGCAAACAGGGGAUCCAGGCCCUCACCUCUCACUGACUCUGAAACACGCGCUCAUGGCAUAACGUGGUUCCGGAACUGUCUUGCUUGUGCAGCUUUGAUCUCUUCUUUAUUUUUUUCCAGCGGAGCUGGGCGAGUUUACUGUGCGUCAGCUGGUGUGCGUGAGACACCCCACCAAUGUGUCUGGUUCAUGGAAACCUGUGUGGAUUGCCGCCACAUACCUUCUCCCCACAAUCAACCCUCCGCUCCAGCCCCCCUUUUCUGAUGCUGCCUCUCAGGGCCCCCAUCAUGCUCAGGCUGCGCCUGACUCUGAGCGGAAUAAAGGGAGAGCCUUACCUUGGCAGCGACAAGGCUAACGCUCAGGUGACACGAGCAGAAGGUAGCAUGGCCGAGCUAAGCACGCAGUGGACUCACCAGUGAUCGUGUAGAUGGCGGUGAUAGCCAAGAGGAUGAAGAUCGCCAGGUAGAGGUCCAGCCCCAGGGCCAGCUUGAUGAAUAUGGCUCCGGAGAAUAUGUCUGACUAUAAUGAGACAGGCAGGGCCAUCAGCCCAUAGCUUCAAUCCCUCUCUUUUUUUUUUAAAGUUUAUUUUUAUUGAUCUCAGAGAGGAAGGGAGAAGGAGAGAGAUAGAAGCAUCAACGAUGAGAGAGAAUCACUGAUUGGCUGCCUCCUGCAUGCCCCACACUGGGGAUUGAGCCUGCAACCAGGGCAUGGGCCUUGUCCGGGAACCGAACCAUGACCUCCUGGUCCAUAGGUCGACACUCAACCACUGAGCCACAUUGUCCGGGCCCUUAGCUUCAAUCUCUUUGCCUAUCUCUCCUUCCAUUGAACUCCCCUAGCCCAACUCCAACCCUGGCAAAAUCCAGUUUCCCACUUACUCUGUGCCUGCACCUAGGGAUGUUUCUUCUGUGUUUCUAACUAACAUGCUUACAUGCCAUUUCCCAUGUUUUUGUUAUGUUUUGGUUUCGAGUGAGGUGAGGGGAAGGGAUACGGGGGCAGGAUUCAGGAUCUGAAGCAAUAGAGGCAGAUUCCUUUGGAGAACCUGGGUUCGGAAGGGGUGUCACAGGAGAUGGGAGAUGUUUUCCUCCCUAAGAUUUGAAAUGAAACCUGGGGCAGGAGGACUGGGGAGGCUGUCCUGUCCUCACUCCUCAUCGUGAUCGGUUUAACCAGUAACCAGGACCCAAUCUGUUAUCAGAGUGUAAUAGCAAGAGUGCACAGAAGGUUGUGCGUAAGAUUAAUCAUUAUUAAUAGCACUUAAAACACGACCUUGUAGGUAAGGAUGGACUCCUGCUACUGUACCUUCUCAGCCAACCACAGACCCUGCACAGUCAGUCACACACAUGCCCCUGACCUUCCUGCUCCUCCAGUCAGCUCCCAUCAUUCCAUCUCGCCCCUGCCCCCCAACCGGGAUCCUUCUGCCACCGGAGGCUGCAUCCCGUGGGCCCCUUCGGCCACUCGCAUUCUGCACAGCGCCUGGUUCAUGCCCUGGAGGAUGUCAAAGCUGUAGAGGUCAGAGCCAGGGGAGGCCUGGGAGGUCACUGAGCCCCGCCCACUGGGGAACAUGGCGAGCCCCUCGCUUCCCUUGGCCCCUCCUCUUUCCUGGCCUGGGGGUUGUGUAAUCCCCCAGCACCCCAUGCAGAUGACUUCCAUUCCCACCCGCUUUCCUGGGCAUCCACAGCAUGCCUUCCGUGCUUGUCCACACACUCCACUCAAGCUCACGCUGAGUAUAUCUGCAGCUAUUAUCAUAAAGUACUAACAAUCUUAUAGUUAAAUUGUUUUUAUUUAAGUGCGUUUUUUAUGUUAAUCCCCACCAAAGGAUAUUUUUCUAUUAAUUUUUAUUUUAUUUUUAAAAUAUUUUUUUAUUUAUUUUAGAGAGGGAGAGAGAGAGAGAAACAUCAAUGAUGAGAGAGAAUCAUUGAUUAGCUGUCUCCUGCAUGCCCCCUAUUGGGGAUCGAGCCUGCAACCCAGGCAUGUGCCCUGACUGGGGAUCGAAUGCGGGACCCUUCAAGCUGAAGGCUGAUGUUCUAUGCACUGAGCCAAACCGGCUAGGGCUUUGUAUUGAUUUUUUAGGAGAGAGCAGAAGGGAGGGGGAGAGACACAGAGAGAGACACACACAUCGAUUGGUUGCCUCCUGUACAUGCCCCAACCGGAGCCAGGGAAGGAGCCUGCAACUGAGGUACGUGCCCUUGACUGGAUUUGAACCUGGAACCCUGUGGUCCACGGGCUGAUGAGCCACACUGGCUCAGGCUCUGGUUAAAUUCUUAACUCCUUAACCAUGUGGUGAACUCCUAGCGCACAGGGAUCCUCGCUCCCCCGGGCUCGGAGCGCCACAUGCACAGGAAGCGCUGGGAGAUGCUCACGCUGCACCUGGCGGGCUCAGCCCCUCAUCGGAGCAGCUGGCUCACUUCCAGCCCCGACUCCGCUCAACAGCAGAGCGAUCGGGGAGUCAGCUUCCUCCCUCAGGAGCGGCCCAGACUCUGCACCCCGGGCCAUAACCUCAUGAGUCACUGAUGUGCCAGCAGCAAGCCGUUACUCUGUCUUUGUUUUCUACACGUGCUGCUGACUCUUCAAACUCCUCUCUGCUUUCCUCGAAAGCAAUACAAGGAUAUAUAAUUUAAAAGCGGUCUUGCAAAGCUUAACACGCCAGGAGCACGGACUCACCGAGAUCCUCAAAGCCACGCAGAUGAAGAGGGAGAGGACGGAGAGGUAGAUCUGGAGCCGCUUCCCCCCGAAGCGCUUCUUGAGGUACUCGGGCAUGGUCAUCACCUGCGGAGACAGGCAGGGCUCACUGGCCCAGCUCAUUCGGUCCCUCCGCACUCACCGAGCACGCGGGCGGGCAGGCCGGUGGCGCCUCGGGAAACCGAGGGGAGGGAGGCAUCGUCUCUCGGGAAAGCAGCAAAGCCGGGUGGACACGGGCGCUGGGAUCGGACAACCUUGGGACGGGCUCGCAGCGCCCACACUGACUAGAAAUGUAACAUUUAGCGAGUGACCCUCUCCCUGGACUCCACGCUUCUCAUCUGUAAAGUAGGGUUUUCAUGGGACGGUAGAUGUAAAAUUCCCGCGCCAUCGCCAAAUGCACGGCAAACGCUCGAUGGAUAAUUUUUAUGAUUUUCACACUGUCAUGUGACAGUCUAGUUAAAACAUUACUUGCAGCCUAGCCGGGUGCAGCUCAGCGGUUGAGCAUCGACCCAGGAACCAGGAGGUCACCGGUUUGAUUCCCGGUCAGGGCACAGGCCCGGGUUGUGGGCUGGAUCCCCAGUGUGGGGCGUGCAGGAGGCAGCCGAUCCAUGGUUCUCUCUCAUCAUUGAUGUUUCUCUCUCUCUCUCCCUCUCCCUUCCUCUCUGAAGUCAAUAAAAAUAUGUUAAAAAAAAAACCAUAAAAAGGCCCAGAGAGACAGAGCAGGCGGAAGGGAAGCCACCACGGCUGCGGUACAUCCUACCCUUCAUCACAAAUGAAACUCCUUUACAAGUGUCAGAAUAGCACGGAUCAGGAGGCAGGAAAAUGCCCCGAGUUGGGGAGGACGUGGGCGAGUGGGAGCCCUCACGGCAGGGAAGGCCUGGGAGCAGGUGGCCGAGCCGUUCGCAGGAGCAGCCCGGCAGCAGGCAGUGGCUCUGGGUCAUUGUAAAUCCAGAGACCAGGGACAAACGGUCUCAGCCAGGUCUCCCGGCUGAGCAGGGAGAAUGAGCGUGUAAAUGGAUGCCGACCAGGCGUGCCCACAGCCCCGCGGGUACUCACCCCUGCCUUGAUGUAUAUGGGGACAAAGAACCAGCCGAGCACCAGCAACAGCACCAGGGCCUGCAGGAAGCCAAGCAGGGAGGGUGGCGUCAGAGAGGCCUGGCCUGGGGGCCGUGUCGUCUCACGGCCUCGGAGUCUGCGGCAAGUCCUCCCUGACUGUCAUCGCCCAUGAUGUCACUUACAUUCCACUCAAAGACUGCGGUGGCGAUGCCCGAAGCCGCCCCGGUGCCCGCCAGCCCCACGAAGUGGCCGCUGCCGAUGUUGCUGGCGAAGAGGGAGGCGCCCAUCUGGAAUCCGAGAGCACAGACGCGGGUCAGAGUUAACAGACUCCAAUCAGGCUUCCGAACCGCAGGGACACGUGGCGGUGUUCCCAUGGCUACCCCUGAGGCCAGGAGCCCGCACACCACAGCCCGUGGGCUGAACCCGGUGUCCGUAGGGUUGGUGCGCCAAAGGUAUUUCUUCCGUUUUUGAAUGGUUAACAAGAAAACUAGCCCAGCGGGCGUGGCCCAGUGGUUGAGCAUCAACCUAUGAACCAGGAGGUCACGGUUCGAUUUCCGCCAGUCAAGACACAUGCCCGGGUUGUGGGCUUGAUCUCCAGUAGGGGGCGUGCAGGAGGCAGCUGAUCAAUGAUUCUCUCUCACCAUUGAUGUUUCUCUCCCUCUCCCUCUCCCUCUCCUUCUCUCUCUCUCCUUCUUCUCCCUCCCUCUCUGAAAAAAAACAACAAAAGAUGAGCACACCCAAUGUUUUCUUUACUCUUACACACACACACACACACACACACACACACACACACACACACACACACUUCAUCUCCCGGAAGCUCUGCCCACUCACCGGCCACCAGACCAUGUCCCGGCCAGCCAGGAAGAAGCCCCCAACGGUGCCCCGGUUGGUCUUCAGCAUGGCCUGCGCGGAGGGAAGACGUGGGUCAGACCACAGCCGCUGCACCAAGGUGCCCCCGGGGCCAGGUCACGGUGCCGAUGAAACGGACCCUUUCCAGGUCCCCAGAAGAGAGAAACGUUCUCCUGGAGACUGCCAGGUAGCACUGACUUUUAAAGGAUCAAACCAGAAACCCGGGGACUUCCGGGAUGAUAUUCCUCAACGUUCGUCCUAACUGCUCUGGUUGGUUUCAUUUAGGAAGACAUUGGGGAGAUAGCUGUAAUGCUGCCCACAGUACGAAACAGGAAAACGCUGUGAGUGAGGUGUCUCUGAAGCUGCGUGUGGAAGGAAGUCCGUAGCCUUCAAUCCGUUACCAAAAGAAAGAAGGGGCAUCAGUGAACUCAGCAUCCAACUCAACUGUGGUAGAAAGUGAGAAAAUAACAAAGGGAAAUAAGAGAAGUGAGAUAAGAAAAACCAUGGCGCCCGGCCAGCAUGGCUCAGCGGUUGAGCAUCGACCUAUGAACCAGGAGGUCACAGUUCGAUUCCCGGUCAGGGCACAGGCCCGGGUUGGGGGCUCGAUCCCCAGUGGGGGACGCGCAGGAGGCA
This is a long non-coding RNA of Myotis myotis, 6410 nucleotides long. RefSeq lists it as uncharacterized. The record is from RefSeq and is a predicted model, not a curated record. The transcript has 3 exons. Lineage: Eukaryota; Metazoa; Chordata; Mammalia; Chiroptera; Vespertilionidae.